UCUGGCGCCUGCAUUCAAUGAACGUUUGUAAUGUUAGCAGGUGUGGACCUUGAGGAGAUUUUCUCUCCCUGGCUGCCCAAUUAUCAUUUUUAGAGAGGCAAUGCGAUAAUUGCUGAACGAUGUCACCUGACAUUCCUAGCGGGUGGGAGAGAGCCCUCUCCUGCCCCGCUCAUUGCCUAACUACCUGUAACAGGUGUGUGGGUGAGUGCUCCCUGUGAUGGAACGGUGUCCUGUUCAGGACUGGGUGCCACCUGGCACCUUGAGCUGCCAGGACCGGCUCGGGCUGCUCGCGAUCCCAAACUAGAACAAAUGGAAAUGUUCAGUUGUCUAGCUCACAGGGAUAUCCACAAGCCAGACCCAGAAAGCCUUUGCUACCAUUGAUGAAGAUGCCAAGUCCACAGCCCAACAGCCAGAAGACCCUUGGUCUAGUCCGCAGCUUGGGCUACCUUCCAGCAUAAAGUCACUAAAGAUGUGCCGGGCAUGAUGAAGGAAGAAAGCGACUACAUGCUGAAGGAGAUGGUGCGGGGACUCGCUAGUACCUAUUGGCAGGACCUGGGGAACUUUGGUGGGUGCUUGAUAAUGGGGACUGGAAUAAAAACUGGCUAAGCAAAAA
Molecule: long non-coding RNA, 613 nt
Filed under: Homo sapiens (human)
Lineage: Eukaryota; Metazoa; Chordata; Mammalia; Primates; Hominidae
Description: long independently transcribed non-coding RNA 2663 (LINC02663)
Source: RNAcentral